AGAACAAAUUAAAGCAGGUAAAUUUAGAGAAGAGUGAUGAGAAUGAAGAGAAGAAGAGCAGCAAUGAAAGAGUACUUGAUUGCAGCGACAAGAAUGGCGAAGGAGAUGAACAACAGCUGCCAGAGAACUUGAACACUCGCCCAUAUCAGAAUCCAGUCAACCUAAGCGCAACCACGUUGUUUGGGUCAGGGUCAAAAAGGGAAUUCCAACUCAAACUGAAAAUUGUUCUUCUUUCUUU
This 238-nucleotide long non-coding RNA is filed under the name Arachis ipaensis. Its description in RNAcentral is "long non-coding RNA (AIPA_LNC001695)". The record is from RNAcentral. Lineage: Eukaryota; Viridiplantae; Streptophyta; Magnoliopsida; Fabales; Fabaceae.